This 253-nucleotide ribosomal RNA is filed under the name uncultured bacterium. RNAcentral's name for it is "partial 16S ribosomal RNA". It matches the Rfam family "Bacterial small subunit ribosomal RNA", at positions 524 to 776 of the family's 1533-position model. The record is from RNAcentral.
UACGUAGGGGGCAAGCGUUGUCCGGAAUCAUUGGGCGUAAAGCGCGUGUAGGCGGCUUGGUAAGUCCGCUCUGAAAGCCCGGGGCUCAACCCCGGGAGGCGGGUGGAUACUGUCAAGCUCGAGUCCGGAAGAGGCGAGUGGAAUUCCUGGUGUAGCGGUGAAAUGCGCAGAUAUCAGGAGGAACACCAAUGGCGAAGGCAGCUCGCUGGGACGUGACUGACGCUGAGGCGCGAAAGCGUGGGGAGCAAACGGG